Molecule: ribosomal RNA, 492 nt
Filed under: uncultured bacterium
Lineage: Bacteria
Description: partial 16S ribosomal RNA
Rfam family: Bacterial small subunit ribosomal RNA
Source: RNAcentral
AGUGAACGCUGGCGGUAGGCCUAACACAUGCAAGUCGAACGGCAGCACAGUAAGAGCUUGCUCUUACGGGUGGCGAGUGGCGGACGGGUGAGGAAUACAUCGGAAUCUACUUUUUCGUGGGGGAUAACGUAGGGAAACUUACGCUAAUACCGCAUACGACCUACGGGUGAAAGCAGGGGAUCUUCGGACCUUACGCGAUUGAAUGAGCCGAUGUCGGAUUAGCUAGUUGGCGGGGUAAAGGCCAACCAAGGCGACGAUCCGUAGCUGGUCUGAGAGGAUGAUCAGCCACACUGGAACUGAGACACGGUCCAGACUCCUACGGGAGGCAGCAGUGGGGAAUAUUGGACAAUGGGCGCAAGCCUGAUCCAGCCAUACCGCGUGGGUGAAGAAGGCCUUCGGGUUGUAAAGCCCUUUUGUUGGGAAAGAAAAGCAGCAGGUUAAUACCCCGCUGUUCUGACGGUACCCAAAGAAUAAGCACCGGCUAACUUCGUG